This 408-nucleotide long non-coding RNA is filed under the name Androctonus crassicauda. Lineage: Eukaryota; Metazoa; Arthropoda; Arachnida; Scorpiones; Buthidae. The record is from RNAcentral.
GGCAAAAGAAGGUUUCGGUUAGUCCGUUCUACGAUAAACAAUGACUGUGUUCGAAGUACUGGUAAAGCGUACUUCGCGGACCGGUUUGACGACUUCGCCGGAAGUUUCGCCAUAUUCAGACCUGUUCGAGGUAACUAGACUUCUACUCCAAGUGGUCCACGGAGGUCGUUUCGACGAAGACCACAUUGAUGUGGUAUACCUACGAGGUCUACUAGUCCAAAGAUGGAUGACAACAGUCUAUCGCCAAGUAGUCAGGAAUAUAAAAAAGCAUUUAAAUGUUCCCAACAAGAGUGCUUAAAGCCGUUCGAAUUUCUCUCUCUACAAAGAAUACUUACAGUAGCUCGAGAGUACUACAACUUAGAAGUCUUGUCAGCAUUAGUCUCGGCAAUAUUAGUCUCGAUACUUCGA